AGAGUUUGAUCAUGGCUCAGAACGAACGUUGGCGGCAUGGAUUAGGCAUGCAAGUCGCGCGAAUGCCCGCAAGGGUGGAAGCGGCGUAAGGGGCAGUAAGGCGUGGAUAACCUACCCUGGGAUUCGGCAUAGCCCGUCGAGAGACGGGGUAAUUCCGAGCGAUGCAGUUGUCGGGCAUCCGAUGAUUGCCAAAGUUGCGGCGUCUUGGGAGGGGUUCACGUGGUAUUAGCUAGUUGGUGAGGUAACGGCUCACCAAGGCGGAGAUGCCUAGCGGGUGUGAGAGCACGACCCGCGCCACUGGCACUGAGACACUGGCCAGACACCUACGGGUGGCUGCAGUCGAGGAUCUUCGGCAAUGGGGGCAACCCUGACCGAGCGAUGCCGCGUGGGCGACGAAGGCCUUCGGGUUGUAAAGCCCUGUCGAGGGGGAGAAACUUUGAUCUAUCCCUGGAGGAAGCUCGGGCUAAGUUCGUGCCAGCCGCCGCGGUAAUAC
Molecule: ribosomal RNA, 493 nt
Filed under: uncultured bacterium
Lineage: Bacteria
Description: bacterial SSU rRNA
Rfam family: Bacterial small subunit ribosomal RNA
Source: RNAcentral